UACGUAGGGGGCGAGCGUUGUCCGGAUUUAUUGGGCGUAAAGAGCUCGUAGGCGGUUGGGCAAGUCACGUGUGAAAUCUCCACGCUCAACGUGGAGGCGCCACGUGAGACUGCCCUGACUGGAGUCCGGUAGGGGAGCGUGGAAUUCCCGGUGUAGCGGUGAAAUGCGCAGAGAUCGGGAGGAACACCCGUAGCGAAGGCGGCGCUCUGGGCCGGUACUGACGCUGAGGAGCGAAAGCGUGGGGAGCAAACAGG
Molecule: ribosomal RNA, 254 nt
Filed under: uncultured bacterium
Lineage: Bacteria
Description: partial 16S ribosomal RNA
Rfam family: Bacterial small subunit ribosomal RNA
Source: RNAcentral